GAGGAAUAUUGGUCAAUGGACGAGAGUCUGAACCAGCCAAGUAGCGUGAAGGAUGACUGCCCUAUGGGUUGUAAACUUCUUUUAUAAGGGAAUAAAGUGAGGGACGUGUCCCUUUUUGUAUGUACCUUAUGAAUAAGGAUCGGCUAACUCCGUGCCAGCAGCCGCGGUAAUACGGAGGAUCCAAGCGUUAUCCGGAUUUAUUGGGUUUAAAGGGAGCGUAGGUUGACAUAUAAGUCAGCUGUGAAAGUUUACGGCUCAACCGUGAAAUUGCAGUUGAUACUGUAUGUCUUGAGUGUACAAGAGGUGGGCGGAAUUCGUGGUGUAGCGGUGAAAUGCUUAGAUAUCACGAAGAACUCCAAUUGCGAAGGCAGCUCACUGGGGUACAACUGACACUGAGGCUCGAAAGUGUGGGUAUCAAAC
RNAcentral lists this ribosomal RNA (420 nucleotides) under uncultured bacterium. RNAcentral's name for it is "bacterial SSU rRNA". It matches the Rfam family "Bacterial small subunit ribosomal RNA", at positions 356 to 773 of the family's 1533-position model. The record is from RNAcentral.